CUGAUACAGGGCUUGAACCGUGAGAUCAUGACCUGAGCCAAAGUCAGAUGCUUAACCGACUGAGUCCCCCAGAUGCCCCACAAGUGCAGAUUUUGGUGCCAAAAUGUGGCUUUUCCUUGGGCUCCACUACUCACUUUCUGGAUGCCUCACCAUUCUGUUUCCUCCUCUGUAAAAUGGGGAUCAUGAAUCAUGCAGUUAUUAUGAGCAUUAACUGAAUUAAUCUUCGGCAUGAGUCAGUGCCUGGCACAAAGUACGUAUGCUAUUUGUCAUGUCAGCUACUUGAAUGAUAUCUCCGUGUGUGACUCCUACGCGGCCUCUUCCCUUUACUUAUUAUCCAUCCUCGCUGAGAGACAAGUUGUUGGCGUUCAUGGUGCCACUUCUGAAACGUGUUGGAAGGCCCAGCUAAUCAGGAUGAGGCUCGCCACCAGGCCUCAUGAGGGCCAUGGUCCACUCCCAUCAUAUUUUGAGCAGGUGUCUUAUGGCAGAAACUUUUCACUCCGAAUAAAAUCAUGUAAAAUGUGGCUGCUUAGUUUAAAUCAGAGGUGGGAUGUCCAGAAGCCCACCUAUUUGUGCCCCGUCUGUAGUACUGUCCCCAAUUUAUCCUUCUACAAAUCCACAGAGUCAUAAUCCUGUGUGCCAACCGAACUUCUAGCCAAAUUGUCAGUUGGAAUGAUUUGAGUUUCUUCUCUGGGUCCUGCCCUGUGUAUUUUAUAGUUUUAGGUGGAAGAAAAUUGAGGGCUAGCUGUCCUCAUUUUAGAUUCAACUACCACUUAUUGAACAUCUAAACAUCAUGCCACAAACUCUCAUUAUUAACCUGAAAAGUGUGCAUUGUAUUUUCAGAUGCAUCUAGUAAGCCUCAGAGAGUUAAGAUCCUUGCUCACAACAGAACCAUCAUGACUUCGAAACACUUCUUAAAAUGCUCUAGACUUUAUGCCCACCUUUUAGUGCAACUGAAAUCGGUCUCAACUUGCAUUUAUAUAAAACUCUGUUAUGUAAAAAAUUCUUUUACUUUUGAAAUGUUGGCAUUUGGUACUCAAAUAUCAUUUUUUUCUCCUCAAGUAUUUGUUCUCAAACUAGGCUUUUCCAGUUGACAAAAUUGAGUCUCUGAAGAUUGGUUGAAGACCACAGAACAAGUGAGAGACAUAACUAGGAUUCCAACCAGGUCAUCUGGCCUCAAGCCCAGGGUACCCAGCCCACCAUGACUCAGGUGAAGGUCUAAAGUCCACACCGCACUUUCCCAUACAGGCUGCUGCUUCUCAGAGGCCCUCCGCCUUCUCCAGAUCCUCUGCUGUUGUAUGUCCUCAUGGCACACAAAGGAGAGUCCAUUUAACCCAGUGACGAAGAUACUACAAUUUCCAGUGAGCAAAUGACAUAUGUAAUGGUCCAACAUAAAGACAGUAAUGCUCCUGUUAUUAACCCAGCUCACAAGGGACCAAGAGGAAUGAAGUUAAUAAGAAGGAACAAUCUGAAAGCUCUGGCUGAAAGGUAUUAUUUAAGCCACUGGAGAAAACUAUCCAAUUAUGGAUAAGGGAGUAGAACUGAUGUAAACUUGUGGGUUUUUUCCAUUUAUGUAAAUUAAUGGUAAGAGGUCUAGAACGUACAAUUUUCUUACUUACAUUUUAUUCUUUUGCUGGUAGAUAGAAAUAAAGGCACCCAGCUGCAAAAGAAAGUUGAGAAUAGUGGGACUGAAAUAGCUAUUCUUCUUGUUUCCUUGCCCUGUAGCUAGCCCGGUCUGUUAUUCACGCUGCACUUUCUGGCAGUGGCUUGCCCCCCCUCCACCCCCCCCCCCCCGCACGCACCCCGCCUCCCACACCAAGCAAUACCCAGUGCUCCGUGCGGUGUAAAGAUUCUUUGGAAGUGGUUUAGAUGAAUACAUAAUAAUUUUUCAUACAUUCAAAAUACUGUUUAUUCCUUGAACUCACAAGAGAGAAACUCUAAUCAUGGCAAUAUUAAGUACUAUAAUGAACCACAGGAUAGCAGAUGGGCCCUGGGGUAAACCUUUUCUGUACUAUUGAUUUACUUAUUUGGUUUCCUUGUAAAAUGUCCAUGACCUGAACCAUUGCUGCAGAAUACAAAUACAAGUUUCUGACCCAA
Long non-coding RNA from Herpailurus yagouaroundi (jaguarundi), 2094 nucleotides. RefSeq lists it as uncharacterized. The transcript is spliced from 4 exons. Lineage: Eukaryota; Metazoa; Chordata; Mammalia; Carnivora; Felidae. The record is from RefSeq and is a predicted model, not a curated record.